This 88-nucleotide transfer RNA is filed under the name Peptococcaceae bacterium. RNAcentral's name for it is "tRNA-Ser". It matches the Rfam family "tRNA". From Rfam's summary of the family: Transfer RNA (tRNA) molecules are approximately 80 nucleotides in length. Their secondary structure includes four short double-helical elements and three loops (D, anti-codon, and T loops). Further hydrogen bonds mediate the characteristic L-shaped molecular structure. tRNAs have two regions of fundamental functional importance: the anti-codon, which is responsible for specific mRNA codon recognition, and the 3' end, to which the tRNAs corresponding amino acid is attached (by aminoacyl-tRNA synthetases). tRNAs cope with the degeneracy of the genetic code in two manners: having more than one tRNA (with a specific anti-codon) for a particular amino acid; and 'wobble' base-pairing, i.e. permitting non-standard base-pairing at the 3rd anti-codon position. The record is from RNAcentral. Lineage: Bacteria; Bacillati; Bacillota; Clostridia; Eubacteriales; Peptococcaceae.
GGAGAUGUACCCAAGUGGCUGAAGGGUCCGCACUCGAAAUGCGGUAGGCGUUUCACGACGCGCGAGGGUUCAAAUCCCUCCAUCUCCG